Molecule: ribosomal RNA, 442 nt
Filed under: Tannerella forsythia
Lineage: Bacteria; Pseudomonadati; Bacteroidota; Bacteroidia; Bacteroidales; Tannerellaceae
Description: bacterial SSU rRNA
Rfam family: Bacterial small subunit ribosomal RNA
Source: RNAcentral
GAUGAACGCUAGCGAUAGGCUUAACACAUGCAAGUCGAGGGGCAUCGAGGGUAGCAAUACCUGUCGGCGACCGGCGCACGGGUGAGUAACGCGUAUGUAACCUGCCCGCAACAGAGGGAUAACCCGGCGAAAGUCGGACUAAUACCUCAUAAAACAGGGGUUCCGCAUGGGGCUAUUUGUUAAAGAUUUAUUGGUUGCGGAUGGGCAUGCGUACCAUUAGGUAGUUGGUGAGGUAACGGCUCACCAAGCCAUCGAUGGUUAGGGGUUCUGAGAGGAAGGUCCCCCACACUGGUACUGAGACACGGACCAGACUCCUACGGGAGGCAGCAGUGAGGAAUAUUGGUCAAUGGGCGAGAGCCUGGACCAGCCAAGUCGCGUGAAGGAUGACUGCCCUAUGGGUUGUAAACUUCUUUUACAGGGGAAUAAAAUGAGAUACGUGUAU